UACGAAGGGGGCUAGCGUUGCUCGGAAUCAUUGGGCGUAAAGGGUGCGUAGGCGGCGUCUUAAGUCUGAUGUGAAAUUCCGGGGCUCAACCCCGAAACUGCAUUGGAUACUGGGAUGCUAGAGUCCUGGAGAGGAAACUGGAAUUUACGGUGUAGCAGUGAAAUGCGUAGAGAUCGUAAGGAAGACCAGUGGCGAAGGCGAGUUUCUGGACAGGUACUGACGCUGAGGCACGAAGGCCAGGGGAGCAACGGG
Molecule: ribosomal RNA, 252 nt
Filed under: uncultured bacterium
Lineage: Bacteria
Description: partial 16S ribosomal RNA
Rfam family: Bacterial small subunit ribosomal RNA
Source: RNAcentral